RNAcentral lists this transfer RNA (18 nucleotides) under Pleurozium schreberi. Its description in RNAcentral is "partial tRNA-Phe". Lineage: Eukaryota; Viridiplantae; Streptophyta; Bryopsida; Hypnales; Hylocomiaceae. RNAcentral also lists the same sequence under 4 other names. The record is from RNAcentral.
AAAAAAGCCGGAAUAGCU